GACCCUAUCAAUUAUAUUGGCUUUAGCAUGAGCAACAAAACAACCUUAAUGUGUAUAACAAAAAAAAUGUUUCUAGUUAAUGAUUGUUGUACCCCGUCAAUUUUAAUAUAUAUUUUCACUUCUGGAAAUGUAUCACAAUUUUCAACAACCAAAUCUUGACGGAUUUCGUCUCAAAUCUGUGUACAAAUCUGUGUAUUUUUGUCCAUUUCUGAAAAAAAAUAAAGUUGUUUCAGAACUAUAAGGCAAUGCCCCUUUUAUUGCUAAACUUAUCUAUUCUGAACACAAUGUGUACGUAUAAUUAAUGUCUUUCAGUAUACCUUCACUAGUCAUAAUAUGGACAAAACAUCUGAUGAUAACCUCAAACUACCAUACACAGGCCCUGUCAAACC
RNAcentral lists this long non-coding RNA (389 nucleotides) under Mytilus galloprovincialis (Mediterranean mussel). The record is from RNAcentral. Lineage: Eukaryota; Metazoa; Mollusca; Bivalvia; Mytilida; Mytilidae.